RNAcentral lists this RNase P RNA (337 nucleotides) under Methanobacteriota archaeon. RNAcentral's name for it is "Euryarchaeota archaeon (soil metagenome) RNase P RNA component". It matches the Rfam family "Archaeal RNase P". From Rfam's summary of the family: Ribonuclease P (RNase P) is a ubiquitous endoribonuclease, found in archaea, bacteria and eukarya as well as chloroplasts and mitochondria. Its best characterised activity is the generation of mature 5'-ends of tRNAs by cleaving the 5'-leader elements of precursor-tRNAs. Lineage: Archaea; Methanobacteriati; Methanobacteriota. The record is from RNAcentral.
GGGAGCAAGAGGGCGGUCAACGGUUCCCCCGCAAGGGGUCCGAACCGAGGAAAGUCCCCUCUCCACAUGGGAAAGGGAUGGACCACAAGGUCCGGCUGCGAGAGUGGCCAAGGAGGCGCAGAGACGACACCGCCCGCGGUGUGCGAUGAGGGACAGCCUCUUCGGAGGGGAAGGUCCCGAGGUCGCCGUGGGAACGGGUGAAACGUGCCAUCCUCCCGGAGCAAGUCAGGGCCGGAGCCCGGGUGCCCAUGCCCGCCGGCCGCCAGCACGCUCAGUCGAAUACCGCCACCCCGCGUCUUGAUGCGGGCCAACAGAAAGGGGCUUACUCCUUGCACCC